Small nucleolar RNA from Arachis duranensis, 104 nucleotides. Lineage: Eukaryota; Viridiplantae; Streptophyta; Magnoliopsida; Fabales; Fabaceae. The record is from RefSeq and is a predicted model, not a curated record.
AUGUCAGAUGGACAUCUUUUGGUCAGCUGCUUGUAUCUUUCCCAAGCUUCAUAGAGGGAUUCACCAUCCUUUUGUUUAAAGGUUUGAACAUAUACUCUCAGCUU